This 1129-nucleotide ribosomal RNA is filed under the name uncultured bacterium. RNAcentral describes it as "bacterial SSU rRNA". It matches the Rfam family "Bacterial small subunit ribosomal RNA", at positions 224 to 1371 of the family's 1533-position model. The record is from RNAcentral.
GAUGGACUCGCGUCCAAUUAGCUAGUAGGCGGGGUAACGGCCCACCUAGGCGACGAUUGGUAGCCGAACUGAGAGGUUGAUCGGCCACAUUGGGACUGAGACACGGCCCAGACUCCUACGGGAGGCAGCAGUGGGGAAUAUUGCGCAAUGGGGGCAACCCUGACGCAGCAACGCCGCGUGAAAAAAAAAGGCUUUCGGGUCGUAAACUUUUGUCAUAAGGGACGAAAUAUGACGGUACCUUAUGAGGAAGCCACGGCUAACUACGUGCCAGCAGCCGCGGUAAUACGUAGGUGGCGAGCGUUGUCCGGAAUUACUGGGUGUAAAGGGCGCGUAGACGGGUAAGUAAGUCAGAUGUGAAAUACCGGGGCUCAACUCCGGGGCUGCAUUUGAAACUAUUUAUCUUGAGUGCAGGAGAGGGAAGCGGAAUUCCUAGUGUAGCGGUGAAAUGCGUAGAUAUUAGGAGGAACACCAGUGGCGAAGGCGGCUUUCUGGACUGUAACUGACGUUGAGGCGCGAAAGCGUGGGUAGCAAACAGGAUUAGAUACCCUGGUAGUCCACGCUGUAAACGAUGAUUACUAGGUGUGGGUGGUAUCGACCCCUUCCGUGCCGGAGUUAACACAAUAAGUCCUCCGCGGGGGGGGUACGCCCGCAAGGUUGAAACUCAAAGGAAUUGACGGGGGCCCGCACAAGCAGUGGAGUAUGUGGUUUAAUUCGAAGCAACGCGAAGAACCUUACCAGGACUUGACAUCCCGCUGACCGCUUUAGAGAUAGAGUUUCCCUUCGGGGCAGCGGUGACAGGUGGUGCAUGGUUGUCGUCAGCUCGUGUCGUGAGAUGUUGGGUUAAGUCCCGCAACGAGCGCAACCCUUACUGUUAGUUGCUAACAUUCAGUUGAGCACUCUAGCAGGACUGCCGGUGACAAAUCGGAGGAAGGUGGGGAUGACGUCAAAUCAUCAUGCCCCUUAUGUCCUGGGCUACACACGUACUACAAUGGCGAAAACAAUGGGAAGCAAGACAGCGAUGUGGAGCAAAUCCCCAAAUUUCGCCUCAGUUCAGAUUGCAGGCUGCAACUCGCCUGCAUGAAGUCGGAAUAACUAGUAAUCGCGAAUCAGCAUGUCGCGGUGAAUACGU